UGGGGAAUUUUGCACAAUGGGGGAAACCCUGAUGCAGCGACGCCGCGUGAUUUAGAAGGCCUUCGGGUUGUAAAAAUCUUUUGUAUGGGAAGAAAAUGACAGUACCAUACGAAUAAGGACCGGCUAAUUACGUGCCAGCAGCCGCGGUAAUACGUAAGGUCCGAGCGUUAUCCGGAUUCAUUGGGCGUAAAGCGCUCGUAGGCGGUCUGUUAGGUCGGCAAGUUAAAUCCGGGGGCUCAACCCCCGUCCGCUUCCGAUACCGGCAGACUUGAGUUUGGUAGGGGAAGGUGGAAUUCCUAGUGUAGCGGUGGAAUGCGCAGAUAUUAGGAAGAACACCGGUGGCGAAGGCGGCCUUCUGGGCCAUAACUGACGCUGAGGAGCGAAAGCUAGGGGAGCGAACAGG
RNAcentral lists this ribosomal RNA (403 nucleotides) under Verrucomicrobiota bacterium. Its description in RNAcentral is "Verrucomicrobia bacterium partial 16S ribosomal RNA". It matches the Rfam family "Bacterial small subunit ribosomal RNA", at positions 355 to 776 of the family's 1533-position model. The record is from RNAcentral. Lineage: Bacteria; Pseudomonadati; Verrucomicrobiota.